Unclassified non-coding RNA from Callithrix jacchus (white-tufted-ear marmoset), 286 nucleotides. It matches the Rfam family "Metazoan signal recognition particle RNA". Rfam says of the family: The signal recognition particle (SRP) is a universally conserved ribonucleoprotein. It is involved in the co-translational targeting of proteins to membranes. Lineage: Eukaryota; Metazoa; Chordata; Mammalia; Primates; Cebidae. The record is from Ensembl.
GCUGGGUGCGGUGGCACGUGCCUGUAGUCUCAGCUAAUCGGGAGGAUGAGGUGGGAGGAUUGCUUGAACCCAGGAGUUCUGGGCUUUAGUGCCCUAUGCUGAUCCGGUGUCCACACUAAGUUCAGCAUCAGUAUGGUGACCUCCCAGAAGUGGGGAGCCACCAGGUCGCCUAAGGAAGGGUGAACCGGCCCAGGUCAGAAAUGGAGCAGGUCAAAACUCCCAUGCUGAGACUUCCGUAGAAAGGCGGAGAAAGGGAACUGGUGGCUGGGGGAGAAAGAGGAAGCAG